GGUCCAGACUCCUACGGGAGGCAGCAGUGAGGAAUAUUGGUCAAUGGGCGGGAGCCUGAACCAGCCAAGUCGCGUGAGGGAAGACGGUCCUAUGGCUUGUAAACCUCUUUAGGCGGGGAGCAAUGCCGGGCACGCGUGUCCGGAGGGAGAGUACCCGCAGAAUAAGCAUCGGCUAACUCCGUGCCAGCAGCCGCGGUAAUACGGAGGAUGCGAGCGUUAUCCGGAUUUAUUGGGUUUAAAGGGUGCGUAGGCGGAUUUUUAAGUCAGCGGCAAAAUGUCCGGGCUCAACCCGGGCCGGCCGUUGAAACUGGGGAUCUUGAGUGGGCGAGAAGUAUGCGGAAUGCGUGGUGUAGCGGUGAAAUGCAUAGAUAUCACGCAGAACUCCGAUUGCGAAGGCAGCAUACCGGCGCCCGACUGACGCUGAGGCACGAAAGCGUGGGUAUCGAACAGGAUUAGAUACCCCUGUA
Molecule: ribosomal RNA, 467 nt
Filed under: uncultured bacterium
Lineage: Bacteria
Description: partial 16S ribosomal RNA
Rfam family: Bacterial small subunit ribosomal RNA
Source: RNAcentral